This 1295-nucleotide ribosomal RNA is filed under the name Clymenella torquata (bamboo worm). RNAcentral describes it as "partial 16S ribosomal RNA". The stretch from base 843 to 1204 matches the Rfam family "Bacterial large subunit ribosomal RNA", at positions 2072 to 2648 of the family's 2925-position model. The record is from RNAcentral. Lineage: Eukaryota; Metazoa; Annelida; Polychaeta; Maldanidae.
AAAAUAAAAAUUUUUUUAAUAUAAACAUUAUAAAAAUAAAACUAUAUUUCAACUACCUAAUAAAAUAAAACUCUCUGCAAAGAAAAUUUAAACUACAUUAAUAAAAAGUAUAAUAUGCUCUACCUUUUGCAUCAUGGUUUAACAAAAUCUAAAUUUAUGAAUCUUUCCCGAAACACUCUGAGCUAUCUAUUAUUUGUUUUGAACCAACCCAUAUCUGUUGCAAAAUAUUGGCAAAAAUAAUAUAUAGUGGCUACAUACUUACGCAGAGUGUUAUAUCUGGUUUACUUAAAUCCCUAUUUAGUAGGACAAUAUUUCUAACCCAUAAAUAUAUGAAAAAUAAUAAAGGAUAAGCUUUAUUAAACCAUUAAUAUAUACCUUUACUAACAUCUUGUAGGGCCCAAAGUACCCAACAACUAUAUUGUCUUAUAGCAACUGAGAAUAAACUAUAAAUUUAAACUGUAAAAAAUAUAACCACCUCAAAAGUAAACUUUAUAAAACCAAAUAUAAAAAUUAAUCUGUUAAAAUUAGUACUACAAAACAAUAAAUAUUAAUAACCUAAAUCAAAUAUAUUAAAACUAUUAACUACAAACCAUUACAUAUUAUAAAGGAACUCGGCAAAUCCCUACUUCGCCUGUUUAUCAAAAACAUAGCCUUUUGGUUAAAAAUAAAAGGUGAAGCCUGCCCGGUGACUUACGAGUUUAACGGCCGCGGUACCCUGACCGUGCUAAGGUAGCAUAUAAUUUGCCCUUUAAUUGGGGGCUAGAAUGAAAGGAUAAACGAAAGUUAAGCUGUCUCUAUAAUAAAACACUAAAUUUACCUUUAGGUGAAAAGGCCUAAAUAAAAUUAAAAGACAAAAAGACCCCAUAGAGCUUUACCAAAAACAUAUAAAAAAGAAAUAUUAUACUUUCUAUUUUAUUAUAUCUAUGGUUUAACUGGGGCGGUUAAGGAGCACAUAAACCUCCUAUUCAUAUAAAGGAGUACUAUCCAACACUGAUCCAAAAAAGACUAAAGAAACAAGCUACCUUGGGGAUAACAGGCUUAUAUCUUUUAAGAGUACAAAUCGAAAAAGAAGUUUGGCACCUCGAUGUUGGCUUAGAGGACCCUUUAGGUAGUAGCAGCUUAAAAGGCAGGUUUGUUCAACCUUUAAACCUCUACAUGAGCUGAGUUCAGACCGGCGUAAGCUAGGUCAGUUCCUAUCUUUAAUUAAAUAAAUUAUCAAUUGUACGAAAGGAUCCUGAUAAUAAAAAACUUUUUAAAUAAAAAUAAAUAUAAUACUACCAUAAAUAUAACCAUCU